Molecule: small nuclear RNA, 108 nt
Organism: Spermophilus dauricus (Daurian ground squirrel)
Lineage: Eukaryota; Metazoa; Chordata; Mammalia; Rodentia; Sciuridae
Source: Ensembl
AUGCUCUCUUUUGGCAGCAUGUAUGCUAAAAUUGGAACCAUACAGAGAAGAUUAGCAUGGUCCCUGCACAAGAAUGAGACACAAAUCUGUGAAGCAUUCCAUAGUUUU